Molecule: long non-coding RNA, 614 nt
Filed under: Setaria viridis
Lineage: Eukaryota; Viridiplantae; Streptophyta; Magnoliopsida; Poales; Poaceae
Description: long non-coding RNA (SVIR_LNC007601)
Source: RNAcentral
UUAUUGACGGUGCGCUGCAUAUACAUCUGACAGAUCAUUAUUUGUGCCAUAUUAGAUGUAUUUGUUCUGUGAUAGAUGAACUCAUGAACAUGAACUUGAGAGUUGAGGAUAUGGGCCGGAUUAUGAAAUAUGAAUUUGUGAUUGUAUACUGUGUAUUUAUGUAACAAGUAUGAGAACGAGUGACAAGUGAUGACCAGAACUUGCGGUCGAUCGUAAAUUUGAUAAGGACAAAUUUGAUAAGAUCAAGUCCGUAACUUGUGUUGUACUUGUAUUAUUCUAUUCAAGAAUGAUUUUGUGUCGUUUUGAAUUUUGAUCCGUUCAGAUACCUUAUUACCUUGAUCAAUUCAACUGAAUUUAAAAGUUUUGCUGGCUAUGUAUAAAAAGAGCCUCUGAAAAAAUAAAAGGAAAAAAUAAAUGUAAAAACCGUCAAAGGUUCAGAAUUUCAUUUCUUUGAUGCCCAUACGAGUACACAAAGGUUAGAGACAUAGAGAGGUACUAUAAUAUACAGCCUGGAUUAGGCGCUGACGAAAAAGAUCCAGAGAAAUUUCAAUAUUUGACACCCAAUUUGAGAGCUUGACACCCAAUUCGAGAGCCUUUCAAAAAAUGACACUGAG